This is a long non-coding RNA of Eptesicus fuscus (big brown bat), 511 nucleotides long. RefSeq lists it as uncharacterized. The record is from RefSeq and is a predicted model, not a curated record. NCBI's taxonomy places the organism in Eukaryota, Metazoa, Chordata, Mammalia, Chiroptera, Vespertilionidae. The transcript has 2 exons.
GAUCCCCAAUGACCAGGAGGAAGGGAGGCAGCAGCUUGGGAAUCCCGGAGUCCUCCCUGGUUUGUAAAAUGGAAGCCUGGGAAAGAACACCCUUUCCUAGAAAAUGACAAGCAAGUGAACAAAAACAACCCUAAGACGCCAACCUUCCUGCCACCCAGGGAACACUUGUCACCAUGCCAGAGGUUUAGGGGCCUUGGGUGGGAAGAAUUCGUCCAACCACUCUGCUGAGUCUGUGUUAGAAAAAAGAUUAAAGAUGUGGCCAGGACAUGAAAUCUGAUGUGAACUGAAGCUGCUCAGAGGUCUGUGUGGUCCUACCUACACGUGGAUGCCACCAUGAAGGACCAUCUCCCUGCACCACUGACAUUUCUCUUUAUGCCCGUGUCUGCCCCAUUGGAUGGGAAGUGCCUCCAGGGCGGGACUUCGUCUCAGUAAGCUUUGUGUCCACCAAUGUCUGCUGGAUCCAGGACCUGAUUGCACCAGGGAGAUCAAUAAAAGUUUGCCGAACAUCUUA